GCCUGGUUAGCUCAAUCGGUAGAGCGUGAGACUCUUAUUCAUACAUCUUGAGUAACUUCCAAUCUCAAGGCUGCGGGUUCGACCCCCGCAUCGGGCU
Non-coding RNA from Microdochium nivale, 97 nucleotides. The record is from the annotation of a GenBank genome assembly. NCBI's taxonomy places the organism in Eukaryota, Fungi, Ascomycota, Sordariomycetes, Xylariales, Microdochiaceae.